GGGUCAGUAGGUUGGUCGUGCCACCGGUACGUACUGGUCUCACUGAUUCCUCCUUCCUGAAGAACCGUAAUGCCAUUGAUCUGGUGUUGCGGGGAAACAGGACUGUUACUUUGAAAAAAUUAGAGUGUUUAAAGCAAGCUAACGCUUGAAUACAUUAGCAUGGAAUAAUGAAAUAGGACGAUCGAUCCUAUUUUGUUGGUUUCUAGGAUUGACGUA
Molecule: ribosomal RNA, 216 nt
Filed under: Glomeromycotina sp.
Lineage: Eukaryota; Fungi; Glomeromycota
Description: partial small subunit ribosomal RNA
Rfam family: Eukaryotic small subunit ribosomal RNA (bases 87-216)
Source: RNAcentral